This 362-nucleotide ribosomal RNA is filed under the name uncultured bacterium. RNAcentral's name for it is "partial 16S ribosomal RNA". It matches the Rfam family "Bacterial small subunit ribosomal RNA", at positions 338 to 697 of the family's 1533-position model. The record is from RNAcentral.
CCUACGGGCGGCAGCAGUGAGGAAUAUUGGACAAUGGGCGCGAGCCUGAACCAGCCAAGUAGCGUGAAGGAUGAAGGCCCUACGGGUUGAAAACUGCUGUUAUAAAGGAAAAAAGUGAGGCACGUGUGCAGGUUUGUAUGUACUGUAUGAAUAAGGAUCGGCUAACUCCGUGCCAGCAGCCGCGGUAAUACGGAGGAUCCGAGCGUUAUCCGGAUUUAUUGGGUUUAAAGGGAGCGUAGAUGGGUUGUUAAGUCAGUUGGGACAGUUUGCGGCUCAACCGUAAAAUUGCAAUUGAUACUGGCAGCCUUGAGUACAGUUGAGGUCGGCGGCAUUCGUGUUGUAGCGGUGAAAUGCUUCGAUCU